This 253-nucleotide ribosomal RNA is filed under the name uncultured bacterium. RNAcentral describes it as "partial 16S ribosomal RNA". It matches the Rfam family "Bacterial small subunit ribosomal RNA", at positions 524 to 776 of the family's 1533-position model. The record is from RNAcentral.
UACGGGGGGGGCAAGCGUUGUUCGGAAUUACUGGGCGUAAAGGGCUCGUAGGCGGCCAACUAAGUCAUACGUGAAAUCCCUCGGCUUAACCGGGGAACUGCGUCUGAUACUGGAUGGCUUGAGUUCGGGAGAGGAAAGCGGAAUUCCUGGUGUAGCGGUGAAAUGCGUAGAUAUCAGGAGGAACACCUGCGGUGUAGACAGCUUUCUGGACCACUUCUGACGCUGAGACACGAAAGCGUGGGUAGCAAACAGG